AUUGAACGCUGGCGGCAGGCCUAACACAUGCAAGUCGAACGGUAACAGGAAGAAGCUUGCUUCUUUGCUGACGAGUGGCGGACGGGUGAGUAAUGUCUGGGAAACUGCCUGAUGGAGGGGGAUAACUACUGGAAACGGUAGCUAAUACCGCAUAAUGUCGCAAGACCAAAGAGGGGGACCUUCGGGCCUCUUGCCAUCGGAUGUGCCCAGAUGGGGUUAGCUAGUAGGUGGGGUAACGGCUCACCUAGGCGACGAUCCCUAGCUGGUCUGAGAGGAUGACCAGCCACACUGGAACUGAGAUACGGUCCAGACUCCUACGGGAGGCAGCAGUGGGGAAUAUUGCACAAUGGGCGCAAGCCUGAUGCAGCUAUGCCGCGUGUAUGAAGAAGGCCUUCGGGUUGUAAAGUACUUUCAGCGGGGAGGAAGGGAGUAAAGUUAAUACCUUUGCUCAUUGACGUUACCCGCAGAAGAAGCACCGGCUAACUCCGUG
RNAcentral lists this ribosomal RNA (490 nucleotides) under uncultured bacterium. RNAcentral describes it as "partial 16S ribosomal RNA". It matches the Rfam family "Bacterial small subunit ribosomal RNA", at positions 30 to 507 of the family's 1533-position model. The record is from RNAcentral.